GCUGACGCCCUGGGAGGCGGUUUCGGAACUGUUCAGAUCGCUGCAGGGAUAAGAGGAGGAGGAAUUGGGUUCUUCUCUGCCUGAGUCGGGCCAAGCCAUUUAUCUAUCAACAGACGUGGUAUUCUUCCUCAAAAAAACCUAAGAAGCAGCUAAUUUAUAUUGUCAGUAUGAGUAACCAGCAGAUUUUCGGUAAGGUUUGACCAAGGCAAAAAGAGUUGAUUUCAUAAAGUGGCCAUGCCUGAGCUGAUUUGCUGCUGACUGACAGCCUCUCACAUCAGUAUAAAACACUCCCCUCUUUGCCUCUCCUGCCCAGGCCUGGGUAGAAGGGGGUCAUUUUUGAAAAUAUGAGACUUUUCUGUCAUCCUUGUGACUCGGCUUCACCCUAUCUCUUCUUGGAGAUGUCCACAACCCCACAUUCCUGCAUGGUGGCAAGGAAUCACCAUUCCUCUGCUAAACAAACUCAAGACAGAGGUUAGAGAGAAGGGGAAAGUGCAGGGAGCUUUCCCCACUGGGGGGUUCCUGGGGGCUGUGUGAUACACUGGAAGUGGGCUUUCAGUUGGUAGUUUUGUUCAGUCCUCGCCAUUCUCUAACCAGAAUUAGAGUCAAGACAGACCCCAGCAAUCCCAGGGAGCCCAACCAGCAAUGCUCCCUCCCCUUUUUAAAGUUUUUAACCACCAGAUUUUUGAAAUGAAUAACUAGCACCUCUAGUAGCAGCCUCACUGUAGAGAGACACACCCCCAUAAACACACACAUACACACACACGCACGCACACACACACACUUCCCUAAGCAAGACCUACUUCACAGCUGAGCAAGGUAUAUAAUUUGCUGAAGGGUGCAACCCUGAGAACAGGAGACAUUACACUUUACUCAGGGAACCGAGGCAGAGAAGAAACAGUUGUCUUCACCUCUUUCUUCUUUGCAGUUAUUAUCCAAAAGGCUUUCCCCACCCCAACCCCCAGCACCAUCCUCAGUGUUUCAGGUCAUCCGUUGGCUGUGCCCAAAGGGGGUCCCCGGCAGGCCGGUCUGGGGCCAAAGAGGGCGGCUCCCCCUGCGCGGAAUCCUUCCCUGGUGGCUCCCAAAUCAGGCGUUUUCUCUGCCUGCCUUUCCCUCGGGAGAGACUCGAGAGGCUGCAAAAAUCUGGGCGCCCGUUCGCUCGCUUGUCAAGAAGCAAACUGUCUUCACAUUCUCCAAGAGCAACAUCCCUGCCUAGGAAAAGGAAAGAAGAGGCAAAAUAAAUAAAACCAGUUAAUGUUGUAGUUAACUUGCAAAUCAAGUAAAUCUGUUGGUGCCGUAUUUGAGAAAUAAACCAUCAGAGCGUCACAGCAAACACACACUUCUGAACGUCUUCAUUUUGAUUUAAUGGUAUAUCAGCGUCAACUAUCGCUUCCUCUGCUGGUACACACGGCCUGAUGCCGCGGGAGGAGGGUGCCCAUGUUUAUCACCGAGUGAGAUGACUAAUUACACCUUGUCAAUCACCGGCUAUGAAGACAUAAAACCAGCGCGCACAAUGAAGUAGUUGCCUGCAGCGUCAAUUAGUUGGCGAUUCGGAGGUUAUUGCGUGGCCCUGCUUUGGCCGCCUCUAAUAACGGGACAGAGCGCCGGGAACGGCGCACUGAUCAAUCACCCUCCUUCCGCGGCUACCCGGCUCCCGCCCCCUCUUCCCCCGCCAGGCCCGGCCUCACUU
Long non-coding RNA from Bos taurus (domestic cattle), 1687 nucleotides. NCBI's taxonomy places the organism in Eukaryota, Metazoa, Chordata, Mammalia, Artiodactyla, Bovidae. The record is from Ensembl.